RNAcentral lists this ribosomal RNA (351 nucleotides) under uncultured bacterium. RNAcentral describes it as "partial 16S ribosomal RNA". It matches the Rfam family "Bacterial small subunit ribosomal RNA", at positions 338 to 681 of the family's 1533-position model. The record is from RNAcentral.
CCUACGGGGGGCAGCAGUGGGGAAUAUUGCGCAAUGGGCGAAAGCCUGACGCAGCGACGCCGCGUGAGGGAUGAAGGUCUUCGGAUCGUAAACCUCUGUCAGCAGGGAAGAACGGUCACGGGGCUAAGCAGCAGUGAAUGGACGGUACCGGCAAAGGAAGCACCGGCUAACUCCGUGCCAGCAGCCGCGGGAAUACGGAGGGUGCGAGCGUUAAUCGGAAUUACUGGGCGUAACGCGCUCGUAGGCGGUAUGUCAAGUCAAGGGUGAAAUCCCCGCGCGCAACGUGGGAACUGCCUUUGAAACUGGCACCCUGGCGUGUGUGCGCGGAUAGUGGACUUCCCGGUGUAGGCG